AUCCAGUUGAUGAGUCCCAACUAGUACGAAAUAUGCAUCCUGGAU
This 45-nucleotide non-coding RNA is filed under the name Trichobilharzia regenti. Lineage: Eukaryota; Metazoa; Platyhelminthes; Trematoda; Strigeidida; Schistosomatidae. The record is from RNAcentral.